Molecule: unclassified non-coding RNA, 330 nt
Organism: Ursus americanus (American black bear)
Lineage: Eukaryota; Metazoa; Chordata; Mammalia; Carnivora; Ursidae
Gene: 7SK
Rfam family: 7SK RNA
About the family: 7SK was discovered as an abundant small nuclear RNA in the mid-70s but a possible function has only recently been suggested. Two independent studies have found that 7SK RNA binds the CDK9/cyclin T complex (known as elongation factor P-TEFb).
Source: Ensembl
GGAUGUGAGGGCGAUCUGGCUGCAACAUCUGUCACCCCAUGGAUCGCCAGGGUUGAACGGGCUGAUCUGGCUGGCUAGACUGGUGUCCUUUCCUCCCUCGCAGCUCUGUGUACAUCCUUCCCAAAGCUGCAUGUUCAGAUGAAGGGGACAACCUUCUGUGAUAGAGGAGGACCAUCCUUUGGUCAAGGGUAAACAAGUAACUGUGCUCCCCUCCUAGAAACUUCAAACAAGCUCUUAAGGUCCAUUUGUAGGAGAAUGUAGGGUAGUCAAGCUUCCAAGACUCCAGACACAUACAAAUGAGGCACUGCAUGGGGCAGUCUGCCAUUCUUU